AGUGGCGGACGGGUGAGUAACGCGUGAGAAUCUGCCUUGGGGUCGGGGACAACCACUGGAAACGGUGGCUAAUACCGGAUAAGCCGAUUGGUGAAAGAUUUAUUGCCCGAAGAGGAGCUCGCGUCUGAUUAGCUAGUUGGUGAGGUAAGAGCUCACCAAGGCAGCGAUCAGUAGCUGGUCUGAGAGGACGAUCAGCCACACUGGGACUGAGACACGGCCCAGACUCCUACGGGAGGCAGCAGUGGGGAAUUUUCCGCAAUGGGCGAAAGCCUGACGGAGCAAGACCGCGUGACGGAGGAAGGCUCUUGGGUUGUAAACCUCUUUUCUCAGGGAAGAAGCUCUGACGGUACCUGAGGAAUCAGCCUCGGCUAACUCCGUGCCAGCAGCCGCGGUAAUACGGAGGAGGCAAGCGUUAUCCGGAAUUAUUGGGCGUAAAGCGUCCGCAGGUGGCGAUUCAAGUCUGCUGUCAAAGCACGGGGCUUAACUCCGUAAAGGCAGUGGAAACUGAAUAGCUAGAGUGCCGUAGGGGUAGAGGGAAUUCCCGGUGUAGCGGUGAAAUGCGUAGAGAUCGGGAAGAACAUCGGUGGCGAAAGCGCUCUACUGGACGGCAACUGACACUCAGGGACGAAAGCUAGGGGAGCGAAUGGGAUUAGAUACCCC
This 660-nucleotide ribosomal RNA is filed under the name uncultured bacterium. RNAcentral's name for it is "bacterial SSU rRNA". It matches the Rfam family "Bacterial small subunit ribosomal RNA", at positions 94 to 788 of the family's 1533-position model. The record is from RNAcentral.